Molecule: ribosomal RNA, 433 nt
Filed under: uncultured bacterium
Lineage: Bacteria
Description: partial 16S ribosomal RNA
Rfam family: Bacterial small subunit ribosomal RNA
Source: RNAcentral
AACGAACGCUGGCGGCAUGCCUAACACAUGCAAGUCGAACGAGACCUUCGGGUCUAGUGGCGCACGGGUGCGUAACGCGUGGGAACCUGCCCUUAGGUUCGGAAUAACUCUCCGAAAGGGGUGCUAAUACCGGAUAAUGUCUUCGGACCAAAGAUUUAUCGCCUUUGGAUGGGCCCGCGUUGGAUUAGCUAGUUGGUAGGGUAAAAGCCUACCAAGGCGACGAUCCAUAGGUGGUCUGAGAGGAUGAUCAGCCACACUGGGACUGAGACACGGCCCAGACUCCUACGGGAGGCAGCAGUGGGUAAUAUUGGAACAUGGGCGAAAGCCUGAUCCAGCAAUGCCGCGUGAGUGAUGAAGGCCUUAGGGUUGUAAAGCUCUUUUACCCGGGAUGAUAAUGACAGUACCGGGAGAAUAAGCUCCGGCUAACUCCGUG